AUUUCUCAAGUUCCUCCUUUGCACAUACCUGGACAAACCCUUCCGAGCUCUUGCUAUUUGUAUGAUAUACAGUAAAGGUAUGAUUACCGCCCUUAAUCCGAUUUAAGAUUUAAUGGGUUGUUAAUCUGAACAAUGUUUGUUUCUCAUGUUCUGAACUUGCAGAGAAGAUUUAGACUACUUCUGUGUAAUAUUUUAGGCUAAUUGGUGACAUGUUGUUGCGCUUACUGUUCAGCGUGUUCAACUUGCUCUUUCCCCGAUUUACUUUUAAUUUUAAUCUGUUCGGCCUAUGUCGAAGUGCAGUAAAAACAAAUUUGAGUCUAUUAUCUUGCCAUUGGGGUUGUAUUAGAAAUGUUUGUGAAAUUGCCCGAAAGAAACUAUGAUUGGCCUUAACUUUAACUCACGGCUUCAAAUUAUAUGCCAAAAGAUCAUAUCUAUAUUUGUUCAGUUAGUUAUGGACCAAAUCAAUUUAUGAAACGUGAACAUGCAAUUUUAGCAAAGGAUCCGUAGACCAACAAAAAGUUGAUGAUUUAUUGUUCUUAUACAUUACAUGCCACUCACUUCAGCUUGUAGGUCCUAUUCAUGGUUGGAAAGAAUGAGAAAUCUACACAAAGAUAAGUUUACUUGGAUAAAAGAGAUUCAAAAACUAGCUAGAGGUUGAAGUAGCUUUCUGUCAAAAAUUAUUAAUUGUUAAUGAGGGUCCGAAGGGAUGAAGACAAAUACAUUUGAUGUUCCAUUAAUAGAGUAUAAUUUCGUUGAUGAUAAGUGCUUAGUUGCCAAUCACAUGGAAUUGUUUACAUGUUUCCCCUAUCCUCUAUUGUGUUCAUUUGAUAAAACUUUGUAGCUAUUUCUCCACGAAGCUAGAAACAUUUGACUAAGCAUUUUAAAUCUGCAGAAUAUUGCGUUCUCAUGUUCAGAAUUUGGAUAAAAUAUGUAGACUACUUUUGUCUAAAAUUAUUAGCUAAUUGGUGGUAUAUUGUUUGCGCUCGAUGUUGUGCGUCUUCAAAUUAAUCUUUCCCUAGCUUAGUUUUAAGUUUUAUCGAUUUUAGCUCUAUCGAAGUGCAGUAAAACCAUAUUUGAGUUUGUUAUUACUCAAACUGCAUUGGGUUCGUAUUAGAAAUGUCUGUGAAAUUGGCCGAAAGGAAUUAUGAUGGACAUAAAAAAAAAUUGAUAGCUCCUCUUUUAAAGUUGUAUGCUGAUUUAUGGUAGUCUUACUUUGUUGCAUAAAAGGGCUGUUCUCUUUCUGAUUCCCCUUCCACAUCUGUCGAUUUCAUUUCAGGAAUUGCUUCGAAGGCCAAUAAGCGUUUCCUUGCUCUUAAGGUAAAGAUUCUUGAUUUUUACUCGGUUCUUUUAUUUUGUCCAUGUAUUCUUGUUCCAAUUUAAGUGAGGAUAUUGUUUACGGUGGGUAAGUAGUUGUGCUUACCUCAUUUGAGGUUUUGAGGUCUUUUAUGCUUCAAAUCUCUUUGUAGGAUUUUUAUUUGUGGAGGGUUGAAUCUUUAGCACCUACCAAGUAUAAUCCUUUAGCUCAUACCGGGUAUAAUCUUUAGCUCCUACCAACAUAUAUACCGACUCUUAAUACUAAAGUUGUAACAAAUUGUUGAUCUCAACUUAUCUUUGCUUAAUGUUCUCUUCACUGUUGUGUUUACAGUUGAGACAAAAUUUUAGAUUAUCUGAUGUCUUAAGCCAU
Molecule: long non-coding RNA, 1684 nt
Filed under: Nicotiana tabacum (common tobacco)
Lineage: Eukaryota; Viridiplantae; Streptophyta; Magnoliopsida; Solanales; Solanaceae
Description: long non-coding RNA (NTAB_LNC007384)
Source: RNAcentral